RNAcentral lists this ribosomal RNA (700 nucleotides) under uncultured bacterium. RNAcentral's name for it is "bacterial SSU rRNA". It matches the Rfam family "Bacterial small subunit ribosomal RNA", at positions 94 to 829 of the family's 1533-position model. The record is from RNAcentral.
AGUGGCGGACGGGUGAGUAACGCGUAAGAAUCUAACUUCAGGACGGGGACAACAGUGGGAAACGACUGCUAAUACCCGAUGUGCCGCGAGGUGAAACCUAAUUGGCCUGAAGAAGAGCUUGCGUCUGAUUAGCUAGUUGGUGGGGUAAGAGCCUACCAAGGCGACGAUCAGUAGCUGGUCUGAGAGGAUGAGCAGCCACACUGGGACUGAGACACGGCCCAGACUCCUACGGGAGGCAGCAGUGGGAAUUUUCCGCAAUGGGCGAAAGCCUGACGGAGCAACGCCGCGUGAGGGAGGAAGGUCUUUGGAUUGUAAACCUCUUUUCUCAAGGAAGAAGUUCUGACGGUACUUGAGGAAUCAGCCUCGGCUAACUCCGUGCCAGCAGCCGCGGUAAUACGGGGGAGGCAAGCGUUAUCCGGAAUUAUUGGGCGUAAAGCGUCCGCAGGUGGUCAGCCAAGUCUGCCGUCAAAUCAGGUUGCUUAACGACCUAAAGGCGGUGGAAACUGGCAGACUAGAGAGCAGUAGGGGUAGCAGGAAUUCCCAGUGUAGCGGUGAAAUGCGUAGAGAUUGGGAAGAACAUCGGUGGCGAAAGCGUGCUACUGGGCUGUAUCUGACACUCAGGGACGAAAGCUAGGGGAGCGAAAGGGAUUAGAUACCCCUGUAGUCCUAGCCGUAAACGAUGGAUACUAGGCGUGGCUUG